Molecule: ribosomal RNA, 1056 nt
Filed under: uncultured fungus
Lineage: Eukaryota; Fungi
Description: eukaryotic LSU rRNA
Rfam family: Eukaryotic large subunit ribosomal RNA (bases 424-1056)
Source: RNAcentral
AAGUCGUAACAAGGUUUCCGUAGGUGAACCUGCGGAAGGAUCAUUAGAGGGGCGCAUUACGCGCAGUCUAUUGUCUCGAAAGGGAUGGUAGACGACCAUAAGAGGAAGGUACGAUUGAGGAUUAACAAAACCAUGAACAACGGAUCUCUAGGCUCCUGCAUCGAUGAAGAACGCAGCGAAACGCGAUAGAUAAUGUGAAUUGCAGAAUUACGUGAAUCAUCGAGUCUUUGAACGCACAUUGCGCCCUUUGGUAUUCCGAGGGGCAUGCCUGUCUGAGCGUCAGUGAACUUCACAUGGGUUGUCUGUGUUUGCUAGCAUCUGCUUGCAAAUUUCAAACAAAUCCUGUGAUUGAGUGUGACUUGUCUCACUUGAAAUGCAUCACGAUUGGUGUCAUAGGUUCGCCUCACCAAGAAUUUAACGUCUUGACCUCAGAUCAGGUAGGGUUACCCGCUGAACUUAAGCAUAUCAAUAAGCGGAGGAAAAGAAACCAACCGGGAUGCCCUCAGUAACGGCGAGUGAAGCGGGCACAGUCCAAAUUUGAAAUCUGGCGCGGGUCAUCUGCGUCCGAAUUGUAAUUUCAAGAGGCGACUCUGGUUACGUCCCUGGUUCAAGUCUGUUGGAAAGCAGCGCACGAUAGGGUGAGAGCCCCGUUUGCAACCAGAGGACANGACCGUACAGAGCGUCUUCCAAGAGUCGAGUUGUUUGGGAAUGCAGCUCUAAAUGGGUGAUAAAUUCCAUCUAAGACUAAAUACCGGCAGGAGACCGAUAGCGCACAAGUAGAGUGAUCGAAAGGUGAAAAGGACUUUGGAAAGAGAGUCAAACAGUACGUGAAAUUGUUCAUGGGGAAGCGUCCGAGAUUAGUGUCGUAGCUGGGAGAACAUCCACCCCUCGGGGUGGUGCACUCUCACAGUUUCGGGUCGGCAUCAAUUGCUGCGGUUUGAAAAGGGUUGUGCGAAGGUGGCUCCUCGGAGUGUUAUAGCGUGCAACCAGAUAGAGCCAGCGGCAAUUGAGGAAUGCGUUCUUACGAGGAUGCCGACGAAAUGAUCUUGGGUGACC